This is a long non-coding RNA of Thalassophryne amazonica, 221 nucleotides long. RefSeq lists it as uncharacterized. Lineage: Eukaryota; Metazoa; Chordata; Actinopteri; Batrachoidiformes; Batrachoididae. The record is from RefSeq and is a predicted model, not a curated record. The transcript is spliced from 2 exons.
GGACAACCAUCUCUGCAGCAAUCCACCAAUAAGGCCUGCCGUCAUGUUUGGAUUCCAGGCACCAUCCCUACAGUGAAGCAUGGUGGUGGCAGCAUCAUGCUGUGAGGAUGUGUUUCAGCGGCAGGAACUGGAAGAUUAGUCAGGUUUGAGGGGAAGAUGAACACAGCAAUGUACAGAGGCAUCCUGGAUGAAAACCUGCUCUAGAGUGCUCUUGACCUCAA